RNAcentral lists this ribosomal RNA (253 nucleotides) under uncultured bacterium. Its description in RNAcentral is "partial 16S ribosomal RNA". It matches the Rfam family "Bacterial small subunit ribosomal RNA", at positions 524 to 776 of the family's 1533-position model. The record is from RNAcentral.
UACGAAGGUCCCAAGCGUUAUCCGGAAUCAUUGGGUUUAAAGGGUCCGUAGGCGGUUUUGUAAGUCAGUGGUGAAAUCUGGUCGCUCAACGAUCAAACGGCCAUUGAUACUGCAAGACUUGAAUUACUGGGAAGUAACUAGAAUAUGUAGUGUAGCGGUGAAAUGCUUAGAUAUUACAUGGAAUACCAAUUGCGAAGGCAGGUUACUACCAGUGGAUUGACGCUGAUGGACGAAAGCGUGGGGAGCGAACAGG